AUUAUACUAAGUAACAUGAGCUUUUUAGUUUUAGUUAGAAUUGCAAAAGCCACAUGUUUAUUGUGCCCAGCAUUUUACCACAAAGAAAGAGGAUUAAAUUCUUUCCUUUGUUGAGGAAUUGGGAGUUUUCUUCCUAAAUAGUACUCUUACCUAAAAGCUAAUUAUGAAGCUGGAAGCCUUCUGGUAUACAUAGCUGUGUUGAUGUAUUUUUGGAAACCAAAACUACAAUGAAGGAUGAGCGUCUAUCAGUUUGUGUAUUAAACCAGAUACAGGUGGUUACAAGAAAACCUCUUUCAGAAUAUCCCUUUAGUAACUGCUAAGUAAGUCCUAGCUUGCAUUUUUUUAAAUGACUUUUGCAUGUUGACUCCAGUGAUUUUCUGCUGUCAUAUUUUUAUAUUUUCUACUUCCUAGCUAUAGUCGAUCAGAAAAGCCCUGUGGUCCCAAGCUGAAGUCUGUAACUCAGCUGCUCCAAUGGACUGAGUUUGGUUGAGCAUUUAUUCUAUGUAAACAUAGGGCACAAAUAUUUAUUAUGCAUCGAUGCAUAAACUGCACAUGUGGGUGCUCGAAGCAACCAAGGUGGAAUUCUGUGGAAAGCAUAUCUACAUUUUAGGAAGCACUAAGACAGGAGUUAAAGACAGCUUUAAUAACUUUUUGUUACCACUUAAUCUUUAGCAACUUUAAUUUUAAUUAGGGUUUAGCUCAUGGUGUGUGAAAAGCCAAAAAUAAGAAGUGCCAGGUUAGGACUGAAGAAUCCAGAACCACCUUUGGCUUAACGAGUUCUGGAAGCUUAAAGUCUUCACAUUCCCAAAUGAGCCACCUGUCCAUAUAUGUGUUUAAUCCUUACUAAUUUCAUACACAUUGAUGCUAAAAUCCAAGAAGUGUAAACAAUUGUUUUAAACUAUUGAAAUACAGUGUGUGACAUAAAGUAUGUAAGUUACUCAGCUUUCUUCUCCCUAAGCCAACUAUUUGUCUUUAGUAUGAAAUAUAACUGUAAAAGCUACCUGUAAUGUCACCAGAUUAUAGAAACUUAUUAAUAAAAUGGACCUGGGUCUAAGACAUUUUUUUCUUCC
RNAcentral lists this long non-coding RNA (1070 nucleotides) under Bos taurus (domestic cattle). RNAcentral's name for it is "long non-coding RNA NONBTAT010719". Lineage: Eukaryota; Metazoa; Chordata; Mammalia; Artiodactyla; Bovidae. The record is from RNAcentral.